Molecule: ribosomal RNA, 254 nt
Filed under: uncultured bacterium
Lineage: Bacteria
Description: partial 16S ribosomal RNA
Rfam family: Bacterial small subunit ribosomal RNA
Source: RNAcentral
UACGGAGGAUCCAAGCGUUAUCCGGAAUUACUGGGCGUAAAGAGUUGCGUAGGUGGCAUAGUUAGCAGACAGUGAAAUCGUGUGGCUCAACCAUACAUCCAUUGUCUGAACUGCUAAGCUAGAGCACGAGAGAGGUAACUGGAAUUGCUGGUGUAGGAGUGAAAUCCGUAGAUAUCAGCAGGAACACCGAUGGCGUAGGCAGGUUACUGGCUCGUUGCUGACACUAAGGCACGAAAGCGUGGGGAGCGAACGGG